Non-coding RNA from Acanthosepion pharaonis, 114 nucleotides. The record is from the annotation of a GenBank genome assembly. Lineage: Eukaryota; Metazoa; Mollusca; Cephalopoda; Sepiida; Sepiidae.
CUACGGCCAUAUAAUAUUUAAAACACCGGUUUUCGUACAACAACCGAAGUUAAGCACCGUCGAGUCUGGUCAGUAGCUAGAUGAGUGACCGAUUAGGAAUACUAAGUGCUGUAA